RNAcentral lists this ribosomal RNA (1989 nucleotides) under human gut metagenome. RNAcentral describes it as "bacterial LSU rRNA". It matches the Rfam family "Bacterial large subunit ribosomal RNA", at positions 1 to 1985 of the family's 2925-position model. The record is from RNAcentral.
UUAAGAUACUAAGAGCAUACGGUGGAUGCCUUGGCGAUAUCUGCCGACGAAGGACGUGACAAGCUGCGAAAAGCUGCGGAGAGAUGCAAAUAAUCGGCGACCCGCAGACAUCCGAAUGGAGAAAUCCGGCUGUGAUGAUGCACAGCCAUCCAUGCCCAAGAGCAUGAGAAGGGAACCGGGCGAACUGAAACAUCUAAGUAACCCGAGGAAAAGAAAUCAAACGAGAUACCCCAAGUAGCGGCGAGCGAACAGGGAAGAAGCCCAAACCGGUGAAGGAAACUUUACCGGGGUUGAGGACCAUCAGAACCGCGAAGAACCUUAGCCGAAACUGUUGGGAAACAGUGCCGAAGACAGUGAAAGCCUGGUAGGCGAAAAAGAGAAACGCGGAGAUGGCACCAGAGUACCGCGGGACACGAGAAAUCCCGUGGGAAGCAGGGGGGACCACCCUCCAAGGCAAAACACAGAUAUCGACCGAUAGCGCAUAGUACCAUGAGGGAAAGGUGAAAAGCACCCCGGGAGGGGAAUGAAAGAGAACCUGAAACCGUAUGUUUACAAGCAGUCGGAGACCGCUUAAUAAUAAGGUCGACGGCGUGCCUAUUGAAGAAUGAACCGGCGAGUUACGAAGCCUGGCAAGGUUAAGCAGGAAAUGCGGAGCCGAAGCGAAAGCGAGUCUUAAGAGGGCGCAAGUCAGGAAGCGUAGACCCGAAACCACAGUGAUCUACCCAUGUCCAGGUUGAAACACAGGUAAAAAUGUGUGGAGGACCGAACCUAUAUCCGUUGAAAAGGGUUAGGAUGAGGUGUGGGUAGGGGUGAAAUUCCAAUCGAACGUGGAGAUAGCUGGUUCUCCCCGAAAUAGCUUUAGGGCUAGCCUCAGGGAAAAGAUUGCAGGCGGUAGAGCACUGAUCAGGAGAGGGACCUACCCGGUUACCAAACCCAGUCAAACUCCGAAUGGCUGCAAUCAUACCUGGGAGUCAGACUGCGACUAAUAAGGGCCGUAGUCAAAAGGGAAACAGCCCAGACCAUCAGCUAAGGUCCCCAAUGCCGUGCUAAGUGGCGAAGGAUGUGGCAUUUCAUAAACAACCAGGAUGUUGGCUCAGAAGCAGCCACCAUUUAAAGAGUGCGUAAUAGCUCACUGGUCGAGAGACGCUGCGCCGAAAAUGUCCGGGGCUCAAGCACGGAACCGAAGCUAUGGCAUGAUAGCAAUAUCAUGGGUAGGGGAGCGUUCUUAUAAGGAAGAAGCAUGACCGGAAGGACAUGUGGACGAAUAAGAAGUGAGAAUGCCGGUAUGAGUAUCGAAAAGAAAGGUGAGAAUCCUUUCCACCGAAAGCCCGAGGGUUCCUGAGCAACGAUCGUCGACUCAGGGUAAGUCGGGACCUAAGCCGAGGCGAGAAGCGUAGGCGAUGGACAACAGGUUGAAAUUCCUGUACCGGAUCAAGUCGAUCGAGCGAAGGAGCGACGCAGGAGGGCACAUGAUCGCGCGGCUGGAAGAGCGCGUCCAAGUGCGUAUGUUGCUGCAGAGGAAAACCCCUGCAGCUAAAAGCAGAGACAUGAUGGGGAGUUAAAGGAAACUUUGACGAACUCAUGGAUCCCACACUGCCAAGAAAAACUUCUAGCGAGACAAGAUCCGCCCGUACCGUAAACCGACACAGGUAGGCGGGGAGAGAAUCCUAAGGUGCGCGGGAAAACCCUCGUUAAGGAACUCGGCAAAUUGCAUCCGUAACCUAGGGAGAAGGAUGGCCCCCGGUCAGUGAAGAGCAGAAACGCUCAGAGCUAAAAGGGGCGGCAGAAAAGAGGCCCAAGCAACUGUUUACCAAAAACACAGGUGCCUGCGAAAGCGAAAGCUGAAGUAUAGGUGCUGACGCCUGCCCGGUGCCGGAAGGUUAAGGAGAGAAGUUAGCGAAAGCGAAGCAUCGAACUGAAGCCCCGGUGAACGGCGGCCGUAACUAUAACGGUCCUAAGGUAGCGAAAUUCCUUGUCGGGUAAGUUCCG